CACGAAACCCUAGCCCUCCCUCCCCGGCCUGUCUCGCCCGCAGCCACGCCGCCGCCUCGCCCUUUGCACGCGCCAUGGCCGCCGCAUCCUCGCCCUCCUCCAGCCAUCAUCGUCGCGCCGCUGCCACCAAUAAGGGAGGCCGUGGCAUCAGCUAGUGAUGGCCCCGCGUCUGUCGCCCGCGGCGAGACGCGCUCUCCGCUCCGGUCAGUGCGGCGCCAAAUCCACCUCGGGGACAUCGGCUGUCUCGCUGCGGUAGAAGGAGGUGGUAGGACCAUUGGGGGUUGAACAGUGAUUGCUAGGAGAUCGAGGAGGAUAAGGAAGGAGAAGAGCACAGCUCAGUUACGGCUGCCACGACGAUAGCUGCUGGUCGGCGACAACUACGGCAAGGCCAUCGCCCAGUGCCACACGUGCCGCUGUACAUGUCACCACGCCGUCCUCUCUUGCUCCACUAGAAUCUCCUCAUCUCCUCUCCGUCCUCUUCAGGAAUGGCCAAUUCGUCACUGAUUAUUUUCUUGACGUUCAUGAUUCCUAACACUAUGAAUGGAUGAGUGACAAGUUUGACAAUGAGUUUUGCCUACAUUAUGCAUGAAUCUAAAAAGUCCACCUACAUAAUUCAUCAAGCCUACAGGUGCUCUCCUACGAUAUCUCACAAGGAUUUAGGGUCUAGUGAAAUCUAUUCAUGUAUUGUGACCUGAAAAAUUAAUCAAGGAUUGCUCUUUACCGAUGAAGAUAACAUACGGAAAUAUGCCAAGCUUGCAAAGUUGAUUUGAUUGAUAAGAAAUCCAUGUCCCAUUAUCAAUGCGUUCAAGAGUCAAGAAUCUGUGCUGGUAAUGGGUACUACAUGAACUUUUCUGCAACUACAGGUUUCAAGCAUUUGCUCCCUUUCUGUUCUAUGCACUUUCCAAAUUUAUCAAGGCAAGCACAUGGAUCAUGGACGUUAUGUACUAAUGUACAUAUUUGCCAAACUAUCGCCUUUCUAAAUAUGGAACUUUUCAUGUUUCAGAAUUUAGGUAAGAUUUAGGGUUGCCACUUAUAUUUAGUGAUCAGUACAAAUUCAAAGUUUUGUCAUUUUUCUUUGGUGCAUCAUAGGUCAAUUGAGAUUCAUUCUUGCCAAGCUUUCAUCAAAAUUCUGACAGCUUGUGUUUUACACCUACCUGUUUUUUCUAUGUUUACUUACAAGCAUGAAUAUUGGUAGAGAAGAAUAGUACUAUAGUUUGCUCAUAUAAGUAAACCAGGAUAUGAGAUGAUUUGGUGUGGCCUGAGACAAAGCUGAAUUAAUCAGCAAGUUUUUAAUCAAUUAUUCUUGCUAAAGGCACUUUGAGAAGUUGUUUUCAGUUUGACAAAAAUAAUAAAGAAAACAACAAGAAGAAAAGUUGUUUAAAGUUAUUUAAGUAAAGUUGUGAGCUAUUAUGUGAUAGUGCAUCAAAUAUUUGUAAGAUAGAUGUAGCCGGUUACUCUGAAAAGUAAAAUUGAAUGAAUCAAUGCCCAUCUUUCGUUUUUUCUGUUCUUUAAUUUAUAUUUUUUAGCGCAUAUAAUCCUUUAUGUUGUCGAUUGCACAAUAUAAAAUAAUGGAACUUUACCAAUGCCCUGCAGGUGAAAACUUUACAUUAUAGUUCAUCAUUCUAUCUGACAGCUAAUAAGACUUUUAGAGCUCCUUCAAUUACUACUCAAGCUUCCGUGUAGCCAUGCCAAUAGGAUUAGCAAUGAAGAUUCCCACGCAUGCUCACACAUAUGCAUGGGAAAACUCAUGUGGUUCCGAAACUAAUGUUGCAUCAUAUAUCUCAAUUAAAUCAAGUUAACUGUAUACUGAGCUUGAUGUUGCAUAUGCAUUGUCUUGAACGAUUUGUCUAUUGCGGAUUUGCGGUUUGCCAUAUAUGAAAUGGUUCUUGAAUGCAUCAGAAGUCUCUGUCUUUUUUUUCCUAUGCAUUGUUAGGCAUCGUUCGUUUAGGGGUGAUAGGGGAGAUUGGCUCUCGUUUUUCGCGCGCACGCUUUUCAAAUUACUAAACGGUGCGUUUUUUGCAAAAAAUUUCUAUGGGAAAGUUGUUUUAAAAAAUCAUAUUAAUCCAUUUUUAAAAUUUAAAAUAGUUAAUACUCAAUUAAUCAUGAGCUAAUGGCUCACCUCGUUUUGCGUAUCUUCCCAAUCUCCUCAAUCCCCUUAGUCUAUGGACAGCGCUACGCUGCGCGCGUUUAUUGCUAGUAUUAUUAAGGGGCGCGGAUUGGGGCGAUGGCGGCGCGGGCCACGUCACCUCUUUUUCCUCCCGCCGUCCGAUCAGGCGUGGGCGGCUGGGAUUGAGGCGCGCGGUGUAAAUUUUGCGAAAAUCCUCCGGUUUAUGCGUAAUUCGAUUUAAGUCCCUUCGGAACAGUAGCUAUGAGGUGCUAUUUUACGUAUAGGCCCUUACAAAAUCCUCAUAUUCCACGAUAAGGAGAGAAAAAAUCGAGAAUAAGGACUGUGCUGUAAACAGUGAAAACCGAGGGACUUUUUCGCAAAAUGUCGCCCACUAACCCCAAACCCUAGCCGCCGCCCGCAUCCUCUCCUCCCUCCCGUCUCACCCUCUCCCUCUCCCUUUCCUUCUCCCGGCGCCGCCACCUCCGCCUCACGCCGUCCCCGUCUCCUCGCGCCGCCGCCUCCUCCUCCGCCGCCACCGUCGUCAUGUCCUCGUCUCCGUCUCCGCCUCCGCCUCGCGCCGCCGCACGCCGCCACCGCCGCGAGAGGAGCUAUCGGAAGCGCCGCCCCGGAGGAGGAGGAAGAGAGGCGAGAGAGCGGAGGACGGAGAGGGAUCCGGCAAGAUGGGAGUCCUGGCGUUCUACCGGUGGCUGGCGGACCGGUACCCGCAGACGGUGUCGGACGCGGUGGAGGAGGAGCCCGUGGAGCUCGAGCCUGGCGCCUUCGUCCCCGUCGACCUCCGCCGCCCCAACCCCAACGGCCUCAAGUUCGACAACCUCUACCUCGACAUGAACGGCAUCAUCCACCCCUGCUUCCACCCCGAGGGCCACGCACGAUCCUAUUCCCCCAUCCCCUCUGUCUUCUCGUCUUCUAAUCAACCCAUUCUGUGUUCGAUCUCACCAUGGAUUUGGACUCCCUCUCCUGCAGCCGGCACCGACCACUUACGACGAGGUGUUCAAGUCGAUUACUUUUGCAUAUAAGUGCGGCUCUGAAGGGGAAUUUCGUCGAACAAGAUGAAUGCGUUGCCAGGAACUUCAAGCAGGCGGCCAAACUGCUGGGCCUGGACUCCAAGCUGGAGAAGAACUUGCUCAUCCCAUUCAGGGAGAUCAAGGUUGAAUGCACAGUUCCGAAAGAUGAUGGGACUUUAGCAUCUUACAUGUUGGGUUUAGGGUUUAACAUGACAAUGUUAGGGGACCUAUGAAGGGUGGAAUCAGAUACCGCCAUGAGGAUGGUGAAAAAAAGCCUAUAUUCUGCUGUUAGACAAUUCAUAAUUAGGAAUUUGAUAUUUUAGGCCACCGACUGGGUCUUCGACACCACAGAGGACCGCGCCUGCCAAGGUGAUUAUCGCCUUGUUUAACCUCUCAGCAAGGUGGAUUAUUUUUAAUCAAUCCAAACAUGGCAUUGCGGUGAUUUCUCGUGGGAUCCAUGCGCCAUCCAGAUUAUGUUGCGCAGUAGUAGAGUUUGCAAGAAUUAUUUAUUUGUUAACAUAUACGCGCCAAACAAUUCCACCCAAAAGCCUUAAUCUGUGAAAAGAGGUUGGGUAAUCUACUCAAUACUUAACAACUAAUAUGCUGCACUGUUUAUGUUAAUCUGUAGCUUGGAUGAAUCUGAUGUAACAUAUUCUGAGUGCUUGGGUACAGUAAUUAUCACUAUGUACUAGACAAUACAUUUUGACCAUGCGAAGGUAUGUGGAAGGUGUUAUCGCUUUUUUUUUCUUAUAAAAGAUAUGCUGGUUGUUAGUGUUGCCAUUUUGAUUAUGACUCUACGUUGCUAUUUGCAUAUCAGUUAUCAGUGGAACUUUUACUUUUUAACCGUUGUACUGUAAGCCACUUCAAUACAGGCCAUCAUAUACAACUAGGGAGCACGUUUUCUUGUGUGCUACUGACAAAUAAAAUACAAAGUACAUUUCAAUGAGAUUUGUUUACAGCUUAUAAGUGAUGUUCUUUGUUUUACACCAUUUUUAGUCAUCGUACAAAAUUAGGCUGAAAUUGUUCUUAAUGCUAUUCUUUUCAGCACAAAAGUCCCUGUUGCUACUGUGCAUGAAGAUCUUUCCUCUGUGGCUCCUCCUCCUGUCCAUUGCCCUCGGUGUUAUAAAGUUACCAUUUGAUAUUUCUGGUCUGGGUAAUCUCCUAAUGUAAGGUGUUAGUUUGUUCUAUUAUUCUAUUCUCGAUUAUACAAGCUGUGGCUUUAAAGAAAUAGCAGUAGAUAUGAUAUGGACCAUUGAGGUCACUUCCAUAAACUUGGAUCUGGGUGUGCAACAUUUGUCAGUACACCAUUGCCCUCGGUGUUAUAAAGUUACCAUUUGAUAUUUCUUUGAUCUGAUCAAACAAAUCUUAAUCCUUCUUUCAUAGCACCAGCACUGUUGCAUCUUUUGCCUAAACAUAUUAUGUUAUUACGCUGUCACACUGUUGCUUGUCCUCUAUGUAUUGUCCCUAACAAAUUUUGCUGUAAACAUGUCCUGUCAAUAGUCAUAGCCAUCACUAACAAGUGAGCUACGUAUCUAUUUAUUUCAGUACACCAAAUUAUGUGCUAUUAUGAUGUUGCACUACAACAUCACAAUUGCACAUCCUCUAACUCUGCUUUAAUGCUCUAAAUAUACUCUGUUAACAAGGAUAUCCAUCGCUAUUAUUAGCUGCUAAUGAAUGAAUUGUAUCCAGGCGGCGCGCCCCAGGCUCUAGUACUCCGAAUUUUUUUCAUAUAAUAAUUAAUAACCUCAAAGUUAAAUAAAUAGUAAAUUCGAAUCAGUAAUUAGAAAAAUAGGAAGGACGUUGGGAGCAACAACGUCUCAAGUGGACGCUGGAGAGACGACGUCCUUUAAUGGACGCUGUAGGCUAGCACGUACAUCUAGCUGAUCCCAGCCUAGCCCAAGAACUCAUGCUGCAAAGGCCCAAGUAAAGUUCCUCCAAACAAAAACGGGAGAAAAAAAUGGCUUGCCUCACCUGCGCGUGUGCGUCGUCUGGAGAGCGCUCACCCUUCUCCACUUCUGUCCUCAUUCGCGCGGCAAGCCGGCGGCGGCGCGACGCCCCUCUCCUCUGCGCCCCUAUCCGUUUCUGUGCAUGGUUCCAGCCUGGUCCCUAGGUGAAUCCUAGCUUCCGAUUCCCUCUGCUACUGCCGCCGCACAGGUAUAAUCGAAGACCCCUUCCCCUGCUGCUGCCGCCGCCGCCGCCGCCCUCCAAUCCCUUUCUGCAAGGCCUUGCAUCUCCGGUGCCCUUGACUGCUCCUGCCCCUGUUGCUAUUUGAUUCCAUAUUGUAAUGCAGAAAUACUAGAUUAAUAUUAUUUAUAAAUUAGAAUGCAACCCAGUCUAUUGUGUUUAUCAAAUACAGCUAGAUAAGAUGGCCACCAAUGAUCGGUUCAGUGAUUUGUUAUGGAUGCCUCAUUGUCAGCAUAAAGUUUCCAAAAUAUGGGAUAGUCCUACUAAUUGCAUUAACAUACGGCUUCAUCGUGUCGGCAUUCCUUACCACUCAUUAUGUCAGACAGCUUUAGAGAAUCUUGGGUUCUUUCAGAUUGCACGGAUGAAGGAAAUCAAUAAUGAUAAAUAUUUGAUAUCAGCACUGGUGGAGCGCUGGCGACCUAAAACCAACACUUUUCACUUACCAGUGGGUGAGAUGACAAUUACGCUACAAGAUGUAAGUUGCUUAUGGGGUUUACCUAUCCAUGGUAGACCAAUUACUGGCCAAGCUGAUGGCUCAUGGGUUGAUAUGAUUGAACGGUUGCUUGGAAUUCCUAUGGAAGAACAACACAUGAAGCAGAAAAAAAGGAAAAAAGAGGAUGAUAUGACUAUGGUGAGUUACUCGCGGUACUCCAUCAGCUUAAGCAAGUUGCGUGACCGCUUUCGUGUAAUGCCAAAGAACGCAACAGAACGUGAGAUUAACUGGUAUACUCGAGCACUUGUUCUUGAUAUUAUUGGGUCCAUGGUUUUUACUGAUACAUCUGGAGAUGGUGUACCUGCAAUGUACCUCCAAUUUAUGAUGAACUUAAGUGAACAAACAGAGUACAAUUGGGGGGCUGCUGCACUUUCCAUGUUAUAUAGACAGUUAAGCAUAGCAUCUGAGAAGGAGAGAGCUGAAAUAUCUAGACCUUUAUUGUUACUGCAGUUGUGGUCUUGGUCACGUUUGCCACUUGGUCGACCUGUUAAGGCAAUGAAAAUCACGAAAGAAAGGGAAGAAGAAGAUGAACAGGAGGAAUUGGACUAUUGCCUUGUAUUUGGAGCAAAGUGGUGUCUCUCACAUGAAUUUCGUGCCCCACAUAAUGCGGGUACUGAAUAUUACCGAAGUCAAAUUAAUCUGAUUCGAGAAGGAGUAAUUGUUUGGCAGUAACCUUAUGGAUGAAAUGCCCAUCCAAAUUUGUAAUGAUCGUGCUUGGUGGUUUGCUAGAUUGCCCCUAAUUCAUUUCUGGAUUGUAGAGUUCCACUACUUAGAUAGGGUGAUGCGCCAAUUUGGUCGUCGAUAGAACAUUCCACCUCAUCCUCCAUAUGGCAAGGUUGAGCACCGCAAACUAUGUAAAAUCAAACAUGGAGGAAAAAUGCGCAGUUGGGAGAUAGUACAUGCUAAAUAUAUACACCAAUAUGACAAUUUGGAAGCAGUAAUGGUCCAAGAGGACCAACCUUUUGAUCCAGCUAGCUUGCCAGAGUAUAGACGUUGAUUCCAACAAAAUGGUAUGUAUAGUGUUUUUUCGAUGCUCAGUGCUUGGGAGGUCUUGAAAACCCAAUCCCAUAUCCCCGGGACAUAUUUGAAUGGACAGGCUACAUGCCCAGUGGUCCACCACUAGCACGAAUUAGCUUACAUGUGAUAAAGAAUGCUGCUUGGGGGAUCAAAUGUGCAAUUACUAAUAGCUGUAAGAAGUUAGGCAAGUCAAUACUCAAGACAUGCUUGGGUAAUUUGAGAGAUCUAAACCUAGAGCCUAGGUUGCAAAAUAUGCUCACUGAUGCUGGGUUGCCAAUCAAUAUUGAAGAUAUUCCGUCUGAUGAUGAUCUCUCAGCUCAUGUUCACCACCCAAGUCCUCCGAAAGACUCUAAUUCUGAUAUAUUUGAUGAAUGGGUGUACUCAGGAAGAGGUUUUGAAAGAUAUCUCCAUGCAGGUGGGAUAGCUGCAACACAAGACCUAGGCCAAGUGACACGGAUAGAUGAGUAGAGCUGUAGGUUUGAGAUUCUUUCGAUGUGUGAGUUGCUAAGAUAGUGGUCCAUGGGUUGUAAUAGUGAAAACUACAGCUUGUUAACAACGUGCUUGUUUUAGAUAAAUUAUUAUACUACUCCUAGGUUGCAGCUCUAAAGUUCAGUUUGUGUCGAAUUCUAUGUAGUGCAUGUGAGCUCUAAAUUUAUGUUCCAUGUGGGUGCCA
Oryza sativa Japonica Group (Japanese rice) is the source of this 7499-nucleotide non-coding RNA. Lineage: Eukaryota; Viridiplantae; Streptophyta; Magnoliopsida; Poales; Poaceae. The record is from RefSeq and is a predicted model, not a curated record.